AGGACGAACGCUGGCGGCGUGCUUAACACAUGCAAGUCGAGCGGUAAGGCCUUUCGGGGUACACGAGCGGCGAACGGGUGAGUAACACGUGGGUGAUCUGCCCUGCACUCUGGGAUAAGCCUGGGAAACUGGGUCUAAUACCGGAUAUGACCUGCUCUCGCAGUGGGGGUGGGUGGAAAGUAUUUAUCGGUGCAGGAUGGGCCCGCGGCCUAUCAGCUUUGGUUGGGUGGGGUAAUGGCCUACCGAAGGCGACGACGGGUAGCCGACCUGAGAGGGUGACCGGCCACACGUGGGACUGAGACACGGCCCAGACCUCCGUACGGGAGGCAGCAGGUGGGGAAUAUUCGCACAAGUGGGACGAAAGCCU
Molecule: ribosomal RNA, 367 nt
Filed under: uncultured soil bacterium
Lineage: Bacteria
Description: bacterial SSU rRNA
Rfam family: Bacterial small subunit ribosomal RNA
Source: RNAcentral